AACGAACGCUGGCGGCAUGCCUAACACAUGCAAGUCGAACGAGACCUUCGGGUCUAGUGGCGCACGGGUGCGUAACGCGUGGGAACCUUCCCUUAGGUUCGGAAUAACUCUCCGAAAGGGGUGCCAAUACCGGAUAAUGUCUUCGGACCAAAGAUUUAUCGCCCUUGUAUGGGCCCGCGUUGGAUUAGCUAGUUGGUAGGGUAAAAGCCUACCAAGGCGACAAUGCAUAGCUGGUAUGAGAGGAUGAUCAGCCACACUGGGAGUGAGACACGGCCGAGACUCCUACGGGAGGCAGCAGUGGGGAAUAUUGGAAAAUGGGCGAAGGCCUGAUCCAGCAAUGCCGCGUGAGUGAUGAAGGCCUUAGGGUUGUAAAGCUCUUUUACCCGGGAUGAUAAUGACAGUACCGGGAGAAUAAGCUCCGGCUAACUCCGUG
This 433-nucleotide ribosomal RNA is filed under the name uncultured bacterium. Its description in RNAcentral is "partial 16S ribosomal RNA". It matches the Rfam family "Bacterial small subunit ribosomal RNA", at positions 29 to 507 of the family's 1533-position model. The record is from RNAcentral.